This 377-nucleotide transfer-messenger RNA is filed under the name Candidatus Dormiibacterota bacterium. It matches the Rfam family "transfer-messenger RNA". From Rfam's summary of the family: Bacterial tmRNA, also known as 10Sa RNA or SsrA, is named for its dual tRNA and mRNA-like properties. Its role is to liberate the mRNA from a stalled ribosome. To accomplish this part of the tmRNA is used as a reading frame that ends in a translation stop signal. Lineage: Bacteria; Bacillati; Candidatus Dormiibacterota. The record is from RNAcentral.
GGGGGUGUCUAGCUUCGACGGAGCAGUUGAGCUUCGGGAUUGCGAGCCGAGGGCGCGAGCGUCACAGCGCAGCGUUUACAAACGCCAAAAACACACGCACUUUCGCCCUCGCUGCGUAAGCAGUAGAGACGUAAGUCCCGGGACUUAGAUCCCGGGUGCUGCCCCCGGUCAGUCCGGCGGACUGGGGAGCGGUAUCACAUAGACCGGAUUGCUGCUCCAGGGGCGCCGCGGCCCUGAGGUAGGACCUCUCCCGUGGCUGGCCGAAGCGGAUCCUGUCAGGAGGAGCCGCCAAGCGAGAACCAAAAUCCUGGACACGCUCGUAGAGAUCUCGGGGGAUGCUGCUUCGGACACGAGUGCAAUUCUCGUCACCUCCACCA